RNAcentral lists this ribosomal RNA (292 nucleotides) under uncultured bacterium. Its description in RNAcentral is "partial 16S ribosomal RNA". The record is from RNAcentral.
GGACUACUGGGGUAUCUAAUCCUGUUUGCUCCCCACGCUUUCGUGUCUCAGUGUCAGUGUCUGUCCAGAUAGUCGCCUUCGCCACUGGUGUUCCUUCCAAUAUCUACGCAUUUCACCGCUACACUGGAAAUUCCACUAUCCUCUACAGCACUCUAGCUAUACAGUCUUAAACGCAGUUCCCAGGUUAAGCCCGGGGAUUUCACAUCUAACUUAUAUAACCACCUACACACCCUUUACGCCCAGUAAUUCCGAUUAACGCUCGCACCCUCUGUAUUACCGCGGCUGCUGGCAC